RNAcentral lists this unclassified non-coding RNA (2458 nucleotides) under Lingula anatina. RNAcentral's name for it is "luc7-like protein 3, transcript variant X4". The record is from RNAcentral. Lineage: Eukaryota; Metazoa; Brachiopoda; Lingulata; Lingulida; Lingulidae.
UAGUCUAUACGGAUUGACACGAGGCAGCACGGACAGCAUUAUCUUGGAGCUUUUGUAACUUUAGUAUAUGAUCUUUGUUAAACUUACAUGAUUGAGCUCUAAAAACACUAAAUCAACAUCAUUUGUUUCAUUCCGAAUAUCAAAAUACAAAAAUAUAAUCUUGCUCUCUGUGCGAAACUUGGCAUUGUGGGAUAGAAAGACGACAAAAUGGCGGGCGGUUAUAUGGCCCAAAUGUUGGAUGAGUUAAUGGGUAGAAACAGGAACCUAGACCCAAGUGAAUCCAAAGCAGACUUCUCCUGGGAUAGCCCUGAGGUUUGUAAGCAUUUUUUGUGCGGUUUUUGCCCCUGUGAACUUUUUAUCAACACAAGAGCAGAUUUAGGUCAAUGUAACAAGAUUCAUGACGAGGACUUAAAAAGACAGUACAGUGAAAGCCCAAAAUUUCAAAAGAUGGGGUUUGAGGAAGACUUUGAAAGAUAUUUGAAUACUUUGGUAGCAGAUGUUGAAAGACGUAUCAGAAGAGGACAUCAAAGAUUAUCACUUAACAACAAUGCAGGCACACCAGGCAACCCGAACCCUAUAGCAAAGGAUGAAAAGAUAAAAAUGCUGACAGAAAGAAUAAAUGAUUUAGUGGAACAGGCAGAAAAUCUUGGUUGUGAGGGCAAGGUGGAAGAAGCUCAAGGUGUGCUCAAGCUCUGUGAGCAGUUGAGAGAAGAAAGAACUCAGCUUGAGACUAGCCUGAAAAUUGCUGCAGAGAAUGAGAAGCAGAUGGAAGUAUGUGAUGUGUGUGGAGCUCUUCUAAUAGUUGGCGAUGUACCGCAAAGAGUGGAUGAACAUCUGAUAGGCAAACAACAUGCUGGUUAUGCCAGAAUACGUGCCUAUCUUGAAGAGAAAAAGGACAAGAGGAAAAAGGUUGAAAUUGAAAGAGAAGAGCGACUGCGCAAGGAAAGAGAAGAGCGUGAGAAAGAAAGGGAAAAGGAACGUGAGGAGAGGCGGCGUAAAGAAAAGGAGAGAGAGGAUAGUCGAAGGAGAAGAAGCAGAAGCAGAGAUAGAGAAAGGAGAAGAAGUAGAAGUAGAGAAAGAAGGAGAAGGUCUAGAAGUCGAGAUCGCCAUUCAAGGUCAAGAAGAUCACGUUCACGUGAAAGACGUAGGUCCUCAUCUAGAAGCAGAAGUAAAAGGUCACGCAGCAGAAGCAGAGGACAUAAAAGUAGCAGACACAGGUCAAGGAGCAGAGAGCGUGAAAGGUCCAGGAGAGGCAGUAGAGAACGGUCAAGAGAACGUGACAGAAGAUCUAAGGAAAACGUUGAUGAACCAAAACCAGAUACAGCUGUUGAAGAAAAGGAAAACGGCAUCGAUGAAAAAUCUUCAACUGCAGAAGAAAUUAAGGAAGAGGUAGACCUGAAGGAAAGCAUUGAAGUGGGAAGUGGGGAUAAGACUGAUGUCAAUGAGGAUAGCACUGAGCCCCUCAGCAGCAAAAUCCCACCGCAAUCAGCACCAGAGAGCAUAGAAAACAGUGACACUUUGGAUUCACUAGGCUCUGAAGGUGAAAGUGAAAGCAGAACCUGAACUACUAGGUUUUCUUAUUGAUUCAAGGUAAGUGUUCAGUUUGUUCUCCAUUCAUCAGCACAGCUGAGUUGGUUGAUUUGAUUCCAAUGAUCAACAGGUGAGUGGGGUAUAUGUUCAGUGGAACUGCAGACAAUAGUAGUAGUAGUGCUGGAAGCUUGCCUGUAUGUGACAUUACUGGGUCAUUACAUUUGAUUGCUUAUGUUGGUUUCAAAGAAAAUGGGGGGACUUAAUCAUUAUACCUUGACAAUUACCCCCUCCCAUCCCCCAACCACCCCUCCACCCAGAAAAAAUGUUAAGGUACAUAGCAGCUUCCGAAUGAUGUAACAUUUCAGCCUGUUUUUAUGGAAAUUACACACAAAACUAAAAUGUUACUGAGGAAGAUAUGGUGUCUUCCAGUACUGCUGGGAUGAUGUGGCUUAAGGAUGGGGUCACCAUGGAAAUAUAAGGCUAUAUUUAUUAUCUUUGCCACCAUGUAUUGUCAUUUAAAAUUUUAUUAUUGAGGGUGGGAGACCGCAUGGAAGUAACUUGUGGCCGUUAUAUUUUUAUAACAUGUAUGGAGUAAAUUAAUGUUGGGGACAAUAUCACUUGCUCAUUUGUGCCUUCAUCAUGCUUUGACUUGAUUUGUUGUAACUUGACCGGUGACCAUGGAAACAGUGGUCUCCUGCUGAAGAAGGGGCUCUGCGCAGGGAGAACUUAUAUAACAUCAGCCAAGGUCACUAUGAUUGAUCAGAUUCUUAUAACAUCGGGAUGAUGCAGAUAUAACCGUUGUUCUACGCCAGCCUCAGACUCUGCAUCGACACUACUGGAAACAAAGAAACCAUAGCACAAGAUCAGCAGGUAUUUAUAUCUUGGACCCCUGUGUACUGCCUUCAGCCUAAUCGAUGAAAAAAAAAAA